RNAcentral lists this transfer RNA (75 nucleotides) under Alphaproteobacteria bacterium. RNAcentral describes it as "tRNA-Thr". It matches the Rfam family "tRNA". From Rfam's summary of the family: Transfer RNA (tRNA) molecules are approximately 80 nucleotides in length. Their secondary structure includes four short double-helical elements and three loops (D, anti-codon, and T loops). Further hydrogen bonds mediate the characteristic L-shaped molecular structure. tRNAs have two regions of fundamental functional importance: the anti-codon, which is responsible for specific mRNA codon recognition, and the 3' end, to which the tRNAs corresponding amino acid is attached (by aminoacyl-tRNA synthetases). tRNAs cope with the degeneracy of the genetic code in two manners: having more than one tRNA (with a specific anti-codon) for a particular amino acid; and 'wobble' base-pairing, i.e. permitting non-standard base-pairing at the 3rd anti-codon position. The record is from RNAcentral. Lineage: Bacteria; Pseudomonadati; Pseudomonadota; Alphaproteobacteria. RNAcentral also lists the same sequence under 1 other name.
GCUGUUGUAGCUCAGGGGUAGAGCACUUCAUUGGUAAUGAAGAGGCCGGGAGUUCGAAUCUCCCCAACAGCACCA